AUAUUUACCUGGCAUAGGGGAUACCGUGAUCAUGCAGGCGGUUCCCCCAGGGCGAGGCUGCUCCAUUGCACUGCGGAGUGAUUGACCCUUGCGAUUAUUUUUAUUUCUAUCAAUAAAAAAUCGUAUUAAAAAAUGUAUUCCCGAAUAAUGAUUAUC
Molecule: small nuclear RNA, 156 nt
Filed under: Bombyx mandarina (wild silkworm)
Lineage: Eukaryota; Metazoa; Arthropoda; Insecta; Lepidoptera; Bombycidae
Description: U1 spliceosomal RNA
Rfam family: U1 spliceosomal RNA (bases 1-140)
About the family: U1 is a small nuclear RNA (snRNA) component of the spliceosome (involved in pre-mRNA splicing). Its 5' end forms complementary base pairs with the 5' splice junction, thus defining the 5' donor site of an intron. There are significant differences in sequence and secondary structure between metazoan and yeast U1 snRNAs, the latter being much longer (568 nucleotides as compared to 164 nucleotides in human).
Source: RNAcentral